CAACUUUAUAGGCAAACUUAUCGAAAGAUAAGGACGCAAAGCCAUGGGUCUAACAAUAUUUAUUAAUGAUUGCCAGGCUGCCGCU
RNAcentral lists this non-coding RNA (85 nucleotides) under Dendrosporobacter quercicolus. RNAcentral describes it as "GEMM cis-regulatory element". It matches the Rfam family "c-di-GMP-I riboswitch aptamer". Rfam says of the family: GEMM was predicted in a large-scale screen for bacterial structured RNA regulatory elements. Genes associated with GEMM are involved in a diverse array of functions, including chemotaxis regulation, signal transduction, secretion and chitin. The record is from RNAcentral. Lineage: Bacteria; Bacillati; Bacillota; Negativicutes; Selenomonadales; Sporomusaceae.